UACAGAGGGGGCAAGCGUUGUUCGGAAUUACUGGGCGUAAAGGGCGCGUAGGCGGCCUUCUAAGUCGAACGUGAAAUCCCCGGGCUCAACCCGGGAACUGCGUCCGAUACUGGAAGGCUUGAAUCCGGGAGAGGUAUGCGGAAUUCCAGGUGUAGCGGUGAAAUGCGUAGAUAUCUGGAGGAACACCGGUGGCGAAGGCGGCAUCCUGGACCGGCAUUGACGCUGAGGCGCGAAAGCCAGGGGAGCAAACGGG
RNAcentral lists this ribosomal RNA (253 nucleotides) under uncultured bacterium. RNAcentral describes it as "partial 16S ribosomal RNA". It matches the Rfam family "Bacterial small subunit ribosomal RNA", at positions 524 to 776 of the family's 1533-position model. The record is from RNAcentral.